This is a non-coding RNA of Phrynosoma platyrhinos (Desert horned lizard), 72 nucleotides long. The record is from the annotation of a GenBank genome assembly. Lineage: Eukaryota; Metazoa; Chordata; Lepidosauria; Squamata; Phrynosomatidae.
UGUAGCAUAGCAUAGUGGUUUGAGUAUUGGACUACGACUUUGAAGAUCAGGGUUCGAUUCCCAGCUCGGCCA